UACGGAGGAUCCGAGCGUUAUCCGGAUUUAUUGGGUUUAAAGGGUGCGCAGGCGGAAGAUUAAGUCGGUGGUGAAAUUUUGCAGCUCAACUGUAAAAGUGCCAUUGAUACUGGUUUCCUUGAGUGUGGAUGAAGUAGGCGGAAUUUGUGGUGUAGCGGUGAAAUGCAUAGAUAUCACGAGGAACUCCGAUUGCGCAGGCAGCUUACUAAACCAUAACUGACGCUCAGGCACGAAGGCGUGGGGAUCAAACAGGAUUAGAUA
This 261-nucleotide ribosomal RNA is filed under the name uncultured prokaryote. RNAcentral's name for it is "partial 16S ribosomal RNA". It matches the Rfam family "Bacterial small subunit ribosomal RNA", at positions 524 to 784 of the family's 1533-position model. The record is from RNAcentral.